Molecule: non-coding RNA, 21 nt
Filed under: Caenorhabditis elegans
Lineage: Eukaryota; Metazoa; Nematoda; Chromadorea; Rhabditida; Rhabditidae
Source: RNAcentral
UUCACGUUUCACUUUUUUUUA